GAGAGCCAGAUUUAAUAAGAUAACGACGCGAGACGCAGCUUCACGAAGAAUGAAGAGCAACAACAUGUUAACUAUUCGUCCUGGGAUAGCAUCAAGUUUCCGCAGGCGGCACCUUUCAUCAGAAAAGGUCGCGCCGGAGGCUGGAAGACCCACUUCAAGGUUGCAGAGAGCGAGAAGAUGGAUAAGAUCUACGAGGAGAAGUUCAGAGGAACGGGGCUUCAGCAUUUAUUCAAGGUCUGAUGAACCUGAAGAAAAAUGUUAUAGUCUAACGAAGAAAGCAAACGUAGCGAACACAACCAGCUAGACAAACAUGCAUCAAGAAUUACUCCAAUUUCUGCUUUGGCGCGGCAUCCAACGAUAUAAAACUGCAAGUUAUUGCCGAGUAUAGUCUCAGACUUUACUGUAGCUGAUUCUACGUGCUAAUACAGGCGCCCUGCAGAGAACUGCCGUACUUUGGGAGGCAUCUGACUCAAUAAACAGUGACGUAAA
Priapulus caudatus is the source of this 489-nucleotide long non-coding RNA. RefSeq lists it as uncharacterized. The record is from RefSeq and is a predicted model, not a curated record. NCBI's taxonomy places the organism in Eukaryota, Metazoa, Priapulida, Priapulimorpha, Priapulimorphida, Priapulidae. The transcript is spliced from 2 exons.